UGCAUUUGUCGCAUUCGAGAAUUUGCUUCAUAGCCCUAAGCACGAAGCUUACGUGAUUUCCUUUGUUUACGUCCGUGAAACGUACGCUUUUAUCUUCUUCGGUUUCGCCUCCAACUUUCGCGGGUGACGGUAGAAUUGUUGUCCCAUCAGCUGUGUGUGGUAGUAAUAAAAUCAUUCCAAGAGAAGUUCUAGUUAGCUUCCCGUUGAUUAUUUCGCGUCGAAAGCACGUUUUGUGGUGCUUUUUGUGUUCAUUUUGAACGUGUGUGAUUAGCGUGCGAUUUUCAUCAUGAUCGGUUCCAAAGGAUCUUGUGUGGCGAUUUUAGCCGUAUGUUUCUUCAGCACCGUUUACGGGAUGGAGUGUCCCGAAUUCUUCAAAGCGGACGACCUCGCGGACAAAGUGUCUGACAUCAUCAACCACCAAUGCCCGGUCCCCAUUUUCGGAGAUGACGCCAAAGCCUUCUGCUGCUACGGCACCAACGGAAGGCCCUACUGUUGUGACUUCCCCCACUUCGCCCUUUUCGUGGCUAUCCUCCUGAUCGGUCUCCUGAUCCUGUCAUCGAUCGUCAGCUGCAUCUGCUGUCUCUGCUGUCCGUGUUGUUUUUGUUACAAACGAAGGCAAGGAGGUGGAAUUGUGAUCCGUUACCCUGCAGCCGAAACCACCGUCAUUUAUAAACAAAUGGCGUAAUCUUCAAUUGCAUUGCUGAAUUAACUCUUCACUACGGGCAUGGCUAUCAAAAUUAUUUAAGGACAACUGACAACCACUUCCUCUAAAGUUUUGUUUUGUUUUGUUUAAAUUCAACCGUCGCAGCUUUCCUUUCAAUGGCACUCAAUUUUUCUAACUCGUAAUUUUUUUUUUUAUUUUUUCAUGUUUGUUGAUACUACUUAGCUCUUGGUCACGAACCAUGCAUUCUGUGAAACCUUUUUUACAUUUGUUCUCGCUUAAGUACUAUUUUUUAAGAGACCACCUUUUCUAGUUUUAUGUUAUAAGUAAGUGCGUGGGUAAGAAUUUACAUAAGUAGGAGGUACGUUUAAGUUUGCUGCUCUCAGAAAGUCUCUUUUUUACAAAACACUUCUUCAACUUGCAUCAAUGUCUAACUUUUCAAUCAAAUAAAUUCCAACUAAGGAUGCAUUUUCAGUUCAACUUUUGUAUUUAAACAUCUUGGAGGCUGAUAGUGAGCUGAUCAGAGAAUGGUCUCCUUACUUAGAUUGAAGAGACAGAAGAGUAAAUCUUAAAGUGGUAUCAAUUUUCCCUCCAUUUAAUCUAAGAAAAUAAACAUUUUACUGUAGAGGAGUUACUCUUAGCUCCUUCAAUUCUAUAACAUGUGUCAUUUGAUAAAACCUCCUACGAAAAAUAAUUGCCCUUCGACUCCUAAGCUCAGAUUUCCUAAGACUUCAUUACUUUUUUCUCACCAAGUUUGCUAUGGAGCUUUUGUGUAAACUUUUUUUUUCAUUUGAUGUUUGCAUAAAUGUAUGUGCGAUAUUGUAUGUCUUUCUCAGCUUAUUGUUUAUUUUUUAAAAACAAGGAAAAGCAAAGGACGCCAGUUUUUACUUACAACUUCUAUUUUCUAAUGAUGAAGUCCUUUUAUUAUUUCACCAAAUUUUUGAAGUAGAAAUUUUUGUUCAGGAACAGCAUUUUAUCUAAAAAUUUAAUUAAAUAUAAAUGGAUGUAUGAUCAUAGUGUAUAUGUCAUGCUUGAAAGAUGCAUUUAAAUUUGAGCUUUGCUCAAUUUAGUAGACUAAAAGAGCAAAAUGUUUUUACCGUACCUUAGCCUUUUUAUCAAAGUUGUUAAUUUUAUUUUUACAAUAGUCUGAUGCAAAUGUGUGAAUAUUAAUGUGUAACCUAUUGAAAAUCAUUUAACUCUAACUUCAUCACUUAUUCUCAGGUUUUUCCAAAUUUCCGUACCUCAUUGUUUUUUCUGAAACUUUCUUCGUCUUUUUUUUUCCAUGAAUUCUUUUAGAAGUUGUCUAUUUUCAAACUAGAGAGGAUCACCACCCCUAAGAUUCAGAGAUUCCUUUCAAUCACUGGUAAUUUUAUGAGUUCCAGGUGGACUAAAUAAGCUUUUGCCGAAGCAGUGCGCGGCACAAAUUCCCCCUUACUUAUUCUGUGCAAGUAGCUGUUUUGGGUUAUUUUGUAAUAUAUUUUGUCUUUUCAAUGCACAAACCGCCUAAGGAAGUAUUUGAAUCCAGGUCAAACUUAGUAAAAGCAAAGUUUCUCAUACUGACAUUUCAGUUGUAUUCAGCUUGUACACUUCUUUCUUACUGCAAAGGUACAGUUUCUUAUUUUUCAAUUUUUGAAUCUCUUCCUUUUUAUGUUGAACUUUUCUGGCACAGUAAUUUUACAAUUUAAUUUGCUGUUUUUUGUUAGAUCUAGCAUUUUUGUUGGAAUGGCACAAUUUUUAUUGCCACUUAAAUCAUGAUGAAGAGGACUUCAAAAACGUAACUUAAAGGCUGCCAUUU
RNA transcript from Bemisia tabaci, 2456 nucleotides. RefSeq lists it as uncharacterized. NCBI's taxonomy places the organism in Eukaryota, Metazoa, Arthropoda, Insecta, Hemiptera, Aleyrodidae. The record is from RefSeq and is a predicted model, not a curated record.